UUGUGGGGCGGUGCGCGAGCCGCGGGAGGGCGGACGGUGGUGAACUUACUCGGAAUCAGUGGGCUUAAAGGGCGCGGAGGCGGGCUCGCCAGGCAGGGGUGGAAGCCCACGGCUCAACCGUGGAGGGGCCUUUGAUACUGCGGGCCUCGAGGGAGGUAGGGGCGUGCGGAACUUCCGGUGGAGCGGUGAAAUGCGUAGAUAUCGGAAGGAACACCGGUGGCGAAAGCGGCGCGCUGGACCUCUUCUGACGCUGAGGCGCGAAAGCCAGGGGAGCAAACGGGAUUAGAUACCCGAGUAGUC
Molecule: ribosomal RNA, 300 nt
Filed under: uncultured Pyrobaculum sp.
Lineage: Archaea; Thermoproteati; Thermoproteota; Thermoprotei; Thermoproteales; Thermoproteaceae
Description: bacterial SSU rRNA
Rfam family: Bacterial small subunit ribosomal RNA (bases 52-300)
Source: RNAcentral